Molecule: unclassified non-coding RNA, 227 nt
Filed under: plant metagenome
Description: partial contains small subunit ribosomal RNA, internal transcribed spacer 1, and 5.8S ribosomal RNA
Source: RNAcentral
UUUCCGUAGGUGAACCUGCGGAAGGAUCAUUCAUAAUAAAGUGUUUUAUGGCACUUUUUAAAAAUCCAUAUCCACCUUGUGUGCAAUGUUAGAUCUCGUCAAUCUUGGCGAGAUUUUUAUACAUCAACUCAUUCUUUAACUAAUUUGUCUGAAAAAUAUUAUGAAUACUUAAUUCAAAAUACAACUUUCAACAACGGAUCUCUUGGCUCUCGCAUCGAUGAAGAAGC